UCUCCGAACAAAAUUUUUACGAUCAUUAUUUUCAUUCAGGCUUUGAUGCUGAGAGCAUUUAAUACCUGUGUUAGAGAUUUGAAGUUAUCCAUGAUACUGUAUAACAGGUCAAAGGUCAUUCAAUAGGAAAUCACCAUCUAUAUCUUGCUAAAUAUUUCAUUAUAAAGCAGGUAAGUAGAAUUAGCAAAGUUUAAAUAACAGUUUUGGGGGGUUUUUUUGUAAAUAUGAUGAAUUUUGGGACUGAUUAUGAAACAAAUGAUUUCAGACUUCAUGCAAUAACAAGGAUUUCUUAUUAAAGAUUAACUUUUUGUGCUGCUUUUUAUAAUAAUCCAUUGUUGAGUCAGAUGUGUGUGUGUGUUGUUCUCUCUUUCUCUGCUGGAGUUUGUGUUUAUUUGAGUGUGACGGAGGUUUUUGUACGACGCUUUCACUAGAAUGAAGCACUGUGGUACACUUUUGGUGGAGGAACUGAACUGACGAUCAGAACUGGUCCCACAGUGAAGCCCUCCGUGUCUCUGCUGCCUCCCUCUUCUCUGCAGAUCUCUGGAGACUCAGCCGCACUGCUCUGCCUGCUCAGCUCUUACUCUCCACAGGGGGCGCAGGUGAGCUGGACGCUGUACGGGUCAGAGGUCACCGAGGGGGUUCAGACCAGCGCAGAGAGCGAGCGGGACGGACGCUACAGCCGCAGCAGCGUCCUGAGCCUCAGCAAAGCACGCUGGGAAGCCGGCGAGCGCUUCGUCUGCAGAGUAACACAUGACGGAGCUGAUCACGAGACCUCGUUCCUCAAGAGCUCCGAGUGCUGAUGUUUCUCCAGUGAAGAGCAGCAGGAUUCACAGCAGUCUCCUGAUUUACAGCUCAAUACUCAAGCAGUCUUUCAAUGUGCUGCCAUUGCUGUUCAUUCAAUAAAGCUUCUGAACGCCUUA
Molecule: long non-coding RNA, 920 nt
Organism: Cyprinus carpio (common carp)
Lineage: Eukaryota; Metazoa; Chordata; Actinopteri; Cypriniformes; Cyprinidae
Exons: 2
Source: RefSeq, a predicted model, not a curated record